CCUACGGGUGGCUGCAGUAGGGAAUAUUGGGCAAUGGACGCAAGUCUGACCCAGCAACGCCGCGUGAAGGAAGAAGGCUUUCGGGUUGUAAACUUCUUUUAAGGGUGACGAGCAGCAGACGUUACCCCUUGCAUCAGCCCCGGCUAACUACGUGCCAUCCGCCGCGGUAAUACGUAGGUGGCAAGCGUUGUCCGGAUUUACUGGGUGUAAAGGGCGUGCAGCCGGAGAGACAAGUCAGAUGUGAAAUCCCCGGGCUCAACCCGUGAACUGCAUUUGAAACUGUUUCCCUUGAGUGUCGGAGAGGUAAUCGGAAUUCCUUGUGUAGCGGUGAAAUGCGUAGAUAUAAGGAAGAACACCAGUGGCGAAGGCGGAUUACUGGACGAUAACUGACGGUGAGGCGCGAAAGCGUGGGGAGCAAACAGGAUUAGAUACCCUAGUAGUC
This 442-nucleotide ribosomal RNA is filed under the name uncultured bacterium. RNAcentral's name for it is "partial 16S ribosomal RNA". It matches the Rfam family "Bacterial small subunit ribosomal RNA", at positions 338 to 795 of the family's 1533-position model. The record is from RNAcentral.